UACGUAGGUGGCGAGCGUUGUCCGGAUUUACUGGGCGUAAAGAGCGCGCAGGCGGUCGUACAAGUCGCGUGUGAAAGCCCCUGGCUCAACUGGGGAGGGUCACGCGAUACUGUUCGACUUGAAGGCAGGAGAGGGAAGUGGAAUUCCCGGUGUAGUGGUGAAAUGCGCAGAUAUCAGGAAGAACACCAAUGGCGAAGGCAGCCCUCUGGGACGGUACUGACGCUGAGACGCGAAAGCGUGGGGAGCGAACAGG
RNAcentral lists this ribosomal RNA (253 nucleotides) under uncultured bacterium. Its description in RNAcentral is "partial 16S ribosomal RNA". It matches the Rfam family "Bacterial small subunit ribosomal RNA", at positions 524 to 776 of the family's 1533-position model. The record is from RNAcentral.